This 2239-nucleotide long non-coding RNA is filed under the name Homo sapiens (human). RNAcentral's name for it is "HSALNT0408390". Lineage: Eukaryota; Metazoa; Chordata; Mammalia; Primates; Hominidae. The record is from RNAcentral.
AGCAGUGACAUUUUUGUGUAAAAUAAUAAUUGUAACAAUAAUUCUUACAUAGCUCUUACUCUGUGCCAACAGUGUUCUAAGCACUUUUUACAUACAUUAACUUACAGUGUUCACACUCCUGUGUAUUAUUGGUAUACACAUUUUACAAAUGAGGAAAUGGAGGCACAGAAAGGCUAUUUUGCCCCACAUAAAAAUAGAUGACAUUUUAAUCUUUUCUAGGUAUUUUGCCACUCUAUCAAGAAAGUUAAGGACUCUCAAGCUUUUGGAUGCUUAGAAAAUACAUCAGAGGAGGACAGAAACUCAGAUAUCUCUGCAUCCUGAAUUCAUUGGUGGAAUUGCUACUGUGCCCAGUAAAAGCAUUUCAGUCAUGCAAGGAGAGGAUGUUAAGGUAAAGGAAUGAAACCGAAGACCAGAAAGUGGUAAAAAGCAGCAGUGAAGAAACCAAAACUAAAACAAACCAGCAAAGACCAUAUUCAGCUCACAGCCUUUCAGGAACUGAAGUAGAUCAUUGGCCCAGACUCUCCACUGAAUCCGAAGAAUGCUUUGCAGGGGAUGUUCAGAGGCUUACCUGAGAAUGAGAGAAAAAGAAAUGAGCAAAUGACUCCUGAUUAUCAGUGGGAGACAGGAAGCGACCAUUUAACAUCCAAAGGAAAACUCAGAGGUUAAGCAAUUCAUCUCCUAGUUUUUACAAAUUGUCACAACUCUCCAAAAAUUUUCUGAUAUAUUUGUGGAGAAAGACCCACAUGUAAGUGAACCAACAGAGUUCAAACACAUGUUGUUUUAAGGGUCAACUAUAUAGGUAAGUAUCAUAUAGAAAAUCCCCUUUACCAUUUUUGAGAGAUGUGAUAGGCUAAUUGUUAAACCUAUGAAUAUCCUGUUACCUAUUUCUAUGUAACAAAUUACCCUAAAACUUAGUGACUUAAAAUAAUCAACAUUUAUUAUUUCACAGUUUCUGUUUGUCAGAUAUUUGUGUAUGGCUUAGCUGGUUCUGUUCAGUAUCUCCUAGGAGGUUGAAGUCUUGACUAGGUCUUCAAGAUCCACUUCAAGAUGGCUCACUUACAUGGCUGUUAGCAGGAAGCCUCAGUUUCUCACCAUGGUAGGCCUCUCCAUAGGAUACCUAAAUGUCCUCAUGACAUGGCUGUAAAUUUCCCUCUGCGCAAACGACCUGAGAGAGAGCCAGUGAGGAGGAAGACACAGUACCUUUUAUGAUCGAAUCGCCAAGGUGACACACACCUGCCUUUGUUUUACUCUAUUUGUUAGAAGUGCAUUAAGGUCAGCCCAUACUCUAAGAGAGAGGAACUAGUCUCCACUUCUUGAGGGGAGGAGUUUCAAAUAAUGUGUGUAUAUUUUUCAAAAGCACUACCAUGGCUAACUUGUUUAUUUUGGGCAUCUUUCCUUGUAUCAGUUGAUGAUACUCACAUUAGUCACACAUCCAAUAAGAGAUUGGGUACACAAAACACAAGCCAUAUAACAUAAAGGUCAGUGUAAAAAUCUAAGAUUUUACAAAGGGAGAUUCUGAGAGUUCUGUCUAAGAUGUGGAAUCAGCUCAUAAAGAGAUGUCAUGCUAACAAAGCUUUUCAGAUGCUAUUCCCACUCAUAAGCAUGAGCAUUCUGUAAGUAUCACUGGAAGAGCUUCUGAUGUACAGAAACAAAAAAGCAUGAGAGCAGUGAAAAUUCUGGCUUUGGUGGAAGAUAAAGUAGGAAGAGUGUAGAAGAAAAGGAAUGAGAGAUAAACACUGAUUGAAGAUUUUGCUAAGAUAGGGAAAGUUUCUGUGAGUGACAAUAAAGGAGGUAUGCUUUAGAUUUCACAGUGUAAUUAGACAACUGGCUAAUGAUUUAAUAAUCUAUUUCUAUUGCUGCCAUUUUAUCUGAAGUUUGUAAUGGAAUGGAUCUAGCUCAGGAUUGCCAAAUCUACUUUGCAGUAAAGAAGAAAAUAGACUUUGAAAGUAAGUCCGUAUCUUUAGUAAAUAAAAGAAAGAAAAGAUGAAAAAUAUUGCAUUUAUUUUAUGGAAUACUUUUUAACUAGUUUUAAAGGGAACCCUCUGCAGCAACUCCAGUGUCAACUGGGAAGUAGAAAAAGAAUGCAGAAUGGCUUUCAAGCUCUUUCUCUUUUGAAAGUAGUAAGCUACUCUGUGAAUCAGCGGACAGAAAUUAGAAACUGAUAAGUAUUAGACAGCUACAAUAUUUGAGAUUCUCAGACCAGCCUCCAUGUAUUUUUAUAGUUCCCCAAAUUCCUCUU